UGUCCAGUUUGAUGAAGGCCUGCCUCCUAUUCUUAAUGCACUGGAGGUGGCUGGCUGUGAGAGCAGGCUGGUGCUGGAGGUAGCACAGCAUCUGGUCAGAACGAUCGCCAUGGAUAGCACAGAGGUUCUGGAUCCCAGAGCCCCUAUCAGGAUCCCUGUGGCCCCCAAGACCUUGGGCAUUUGAGAACCCAUUGAUGAGAGGGGUCCAAUUAGCACCAAACAAACUGCUCCUAUUCACGCUGAAGCCCCUGAGUUCACAAACAUGAGUGUGGAGCAGGAGAUCCUGGUCACCAGCAUCAAAGUGGUAGAUCUGCUGGCACCAUACACAAAGGGUGGAAAGAUUGGUCGGUUUGGCGGUGCUGGUGUUGGCAAGACUGUUGAUUAUGGAGCUGAUCAACAAUGUGGCCAAGGCUCACGUGGUUACUCUGUGUUUGCUGGAGUGGGUUGCGCUGGUGUACGGUCAAAUGAACGAGCCCCCAGGUGCCCGUGCCAGAGUUGCUCUUACCGGUUUGACUGUUGCUGAAUACUUCCGUGAUCAGGAGGGACAGGACGUUCUUCUCUUUAUUGACAACAUCUUUAGGUUU
Perca flavescens (yellow perch) is the source of this 584-nucleotide long non-coding RNA. RefSeq lists it as uncharacterized. NCBI's taxonomy places the organism in Eukaryota, Metazoa, Chordata, Actinopteri, Perciformes, Percidae. The transcript has 5 exons. The record is from RefSeq and is a predicted model, not a curated record.